Molecule: ribosomal RNA, 118 nt
Filed under: Pteropus alecto (black flying fox)
Lineage: Eukaryota; Metazoa; Chordata; Mammalia; Chiroptera; Pteropodidae
Source: RNAcentral
GUCUACAGUCAUGCUGCCCGGAACAAGCCCAUCCCGUCUGAUCUCGGAAGCUAAGCAGGGUCGGGCCUGGUUAGUACUUGGAUGGGAGACCACCUAGGAAGACCAGGUACUAGAGGCU